This is a long non-coding RNA of Talpa occidentalis (Iberian mole), 275 nucleotides long. RefSeq lists it as uncharacterized. The transcript is spliced from 3 exons. The record is from RefSeq and is a predicted model, not a curated record. NCBI's taxonomy places the organism in Eukaryota, Metazoa, Chordata, Mammalia, Eulipotyphla, Talpidae.
UUGCACUGGAUGUGGCAGAUCCUCAGCAAAAUUUCAAGGCUUGGGUUCAGUUGGAGAAGAUCCUGGGUCUCCUGAGUCUGCGGCCAGUAGCCUUGAAAGAGCCAGAAAACUAUCAACAGGUGGGGAGAGAAGCAGAAAGCGAGGAAUCCUGGGAAAGCAUCCCGGUAAGGCUGAGGGAUCCUGGAAAGCUUGGAACAGGAGAAGGAGAAGGAGGAACCAGGCAAGGAGCUGGAAAAGGAAGGGGGAGAAGGAACUGGGGAAAAAUAAACGCAGAG